GUAUCGUUCCCCUUUAUACAGUCUAUAAAGGAAAGGAAAACAACAACUGUACAAGAAAACAUUUCAUUGAUAACAAUUAGUACACUAAUUUGAGUAAUGUAUAAUGGUAAAACAUUGGUGUUUUUUUUUGUCGACAAAAGAGUCAUUAAGAGCUCAAAGCAAGCCUGAAAGUAGCCACUAUGGUAUAUAGAUACAACAUAU
Molecule: long non-coding RNA, 201 nt
Filed under: Mytilus galloprovincialis (Mediterranean mussel)
Lineage: Eukaryota; Metazoa; Mollusca; Bivalvia; Mytilida; Mytilidae
Source: RNAcentral